AGCAGCCGCGGUAAUUCCAGCUCCAAUAGCGUAUAUUAAAGUUGUUGCAGUUAAAAAACUCGUAGUUGAAUUUCGGGAUCAAUUUGUUGGUCGUACCUUGGUACGUACUGACAUUAUUGGUUUCUCCCUUCUGAGAAUCCUUGAUGUCAUUAAUUUGGUGUCUUGGGGAAUCAGGACUGUUACCUUGAAAAAAUUAGAGUGUUUAAAGCAGGCAUACGCUUGAAUACAUUAGCAUGGAAUAAUGAAAUAGGACGUUCGAUUCUAUUUUGUUGGUUUCUAGGAUCGAUGUAAUGAUUAAUAGGGAUAGUUGGGGGCAUUAGUAUUCAAUUGUCAGAGGUGAGAUUCUUGGAUUUAUUGAAGACUAACUACUGCGAAAGCAUUUGCCAAGGAUGUUUUCAUUAAUCAAGAACGAAAGUUAGGGAUCGAAGACGAUCAGAUACCGUCGUAGUCUUAACCAUAAACCUAUAGCCGACUAGGGAUCGGAUG
This 486-nucleotide ribosomal RNA is filed under the name uncultured Glomus. RNAcentral describes it as "SSU rRNA". It matches the Rfam family "Eukaryotic small subunit ribosomal RNA", at positions 569 to 1059 of the family's 1831-position model. Lineage: Eukaryota; Fungi; Glomeromycota; Glomeromycetes; Glomerales; Glomeraceae. The record is from RNAcentral.